This 234-nucleotide unclassified non-coding RNA is filed under the name plant metagenome. RNAcentral describes it as "partial contains small subunit ribosomal RNA, internal transcribed spacer 1, and 5.8S ribosomal RNA". The record is from RNAcentral.
GUUUCCGUAGGUGAACCUGCGGAAGGAUCAUUACUGAGUGAGGGCCCUCUGGGUCCAACCUCCCACCCGUGUUUAUUAUACCUUGUUGCUUCGGUGAGCCCGCCUCACGGCCGCCGGGGGGCAUCUGCCCCCGGGCCCGCGCCCACCGAAGACACCUAGAACUCUGUAUGAAGAUUGCAGUCUGAGCAAAAACUAAAUAAGUUAAAACUUUCAACAACGGAUCUCUUGGUUCCG